RNAcentral lists this ribosomal RNA (507 nucleotides) under Colletotrichum gloeosporioides. RNAcentral's name for it is "eukaryotic LSU rRNA". The stretch from base 155 to 308 matches the Rfam family "5.8S ribosomal RNA". The record is from RNAcentral. Lineage: Eukaryota; Fungi; Ascomycota; Sordariomycetes; Glomerellales; Glomerellaceae.
ACCCUUUGUGAACAUACCUAUAACUGUUGCUUCGGCGGGUAGGGUCUCCGCGACCCUCCCGGCCUCCCGCCUCCGGGCGGGUCGGCGCCCGCCGGAGGAUAACCAAACUCUGAUUUAACGACGUUUCUUCUGAGUGGUACAAGCAAAUAAUCAAAACUUUUAACAACGGAUCUCUUGGUUCUGGCAUCGAUGAAGAACGCAGCGAAAUGCGAUAAGUAAUGUGAAUUGCAGAAUUCAGUGAAUCAUCGAAUCUUUGAACGCACAUUGCGCCCGCCAGCAUUCUGGCGGGCAUGCCUGUUCGAGCGUCAUUUCAACCCUCAAGCUCUGCUUGGUGUUGGGGCCCUACAGCUGAUGUAGGCCCUCAAAGGUAGUGGCGGACCCUCCCGGAGCCUCCUUUGCGUAGUAACUUUACGUCUCGCACUGGGAUCCGGAGGGACUCUUGCCGUAAAACCCCCCAAUUUUCCAAAGGUUGACCUCGGAUCAGGUAGGAAUACCCGCUGAACUUAA